AUCGAACGCUGGCGGCAUGCCUUACACAUGCAAGUCGAACGGCAGCACGGGAGCAAUCCUGGUGGCGAGUGGCGAACGGGUGAGUAAAGUAUCGGAACGUGCCCAGUCGUGGGGGAUAACGUAGCGAAAGUUACGCUAAUACCGCAUACGAUCUAUGGAUGAAAGCGGGGGAUCGCAAGACCUCGCGCGAUUGGAGCGGCCGAUAUCAGAUUAGGUAGUUGGUGGGGUAAAGGCUCACCAAGCCGACGAUCUGUAGCUGGUCUGAGAGGACGACCAGCCACACUGGGACUGAGACACGGCCCAGACUCCUACGGGAGGCAGCAGUGGGGAAUUUUGGACAAUGGGCGCAAGCCUGAUCCAGCCAUGCCGCGUGCAGGAUGAAGGCCUUCGGGUUGUAAACUGCUUUUGUACGGAACGAAAAGGUUUGGCUUAAUACGUUGAACUCAUGACGGUACCGUAAGAAUAAGCACCGGCUAACUACGUGCCAGCCGCCGCAGUAA
RNAcentral lists this ribosomal RNA (500 nucleotides) under uncultured bacterium. RNAcentral describes it as "partial 16S ribosomal RNA". It matches the Rfam family "Bacterial small subunit ribosomal RNA", at positions 30 to 523 of the family's 1533-position model. The record is from RNAcentral.